AGUGAACGCUGGCGGUAGGCCUAACACAUGCAAGUCGAACGGCAGCACAGUAAGAGCUUGCUCUUACGGGUGGCGAGUGGCGGACGGGUGAGGAAUACAUCGGAAUCUACUUUUUCGUGGGGGAUAACGUAGGGAAACUUACGCUAAUACCGCAUACGACCUACGGGUGAAAGCAGGGGAUCUUCGGACCUUGCGCGAUUGAAUGAGCCGAUGUCGGAUUAGCUAGUUGGCGGGGUAAAGGCCCACCAAGGCGAUGAUCCGUAGCUGGUCUGAGAGGAUGAUCAGCCACACUGGAACUGAGAUACGGUCCAGACUCCUACGGGAGGCAGCAGUGGGGAAUAUUGGACAAUGGGCGCAAGCCUGAUCCAGCCAUACCGCGUGGGUGAAGAAGGCCUUCGGGUUGUAAAGCCCUUUUGUUGGGAAAGAAAAGCAGCAGGUUAAUACCCCGCUGUUCUGACGGUACCCAAAGAAUAAGCACCGGCUAACUUCGUG
This 492-nucleotide ribosomal RNA is filed under the name uncultured bacterium. RNAcentral's name for it is "partial 16S ribosomal RNA". It matches the Rfam family "Bacterial small subunit ribosomal RNA", at positions 29 to 507 of the family's 1533-position model. The record is from RNAcentral.